Molecule: non-coding RNA, 73 nt
Organism: Pangasius djambal
Lineage: Eukaryota; Metazoa; Chordata; Actinopteri; Siluriformes; Pangasiidae
Source: the annotation of a GenBank genome assembly
GAAGUAGUAGCUCAGUGGUUAAGACAGCGGACUUUUGCUCGGAAGGUCAUGAGUUCAAAUCCCAGCACCAGCA